CUCUCUUUUUUUAUUUUUUUAUUUUUAACAUGUUUAAUGUAAAAUGUUAUCAUUUAGAUAUGGAACUUCUUAGUAAAACAUUAAAGUAGUCUGUUUUGAAUAUCUGCAUUGCCAUAACUUCCUUGCCCUUCAUUAGUUUUCCUUUUAGAGAAUUUUCAUGGAACACAAAACUGACAAAAUUUGUCCAUCGUACAGAAUCAAACUAACUGUAGACUGUUCGGUAUGCAGAAUUAACUAGCUGCCAAUACUCUUUAAAAAUGCACUGCUUAUUGACUUUAAAUGUCAUUGCCUUUAUAUUUAAUUCGAAUUCAAAUGCUGAACAUUUCUCCUCUUUUAUGGCUGUGAAAUAUUAAAUUUCAAAAUCAAUUAACGGGAAACUAGAUAUCUUGAAAGCUUGGGCUAGUGCAGUGAAAAUUGGUUUUCUAUAUAGAGUAUGUGUAAUUAUGAUGUAGUCAACACUUUCAGAAUUCAUAAAAGUCACCACUAACAUGAUAUCCAGGAUACACAGACACAAUACUAUCUCUGAUGGCUGCAGCGAUAAAAUAAUUCACAGGUGUUUUUUUUUUUUUUAUCAAAAUCACAAGUUAAAAAAAGAAGUGGGUCGAUAUAAUAGCAAGAGAAAUAGUGAAAUAUCUGUCCUAUUAAUGUUGUAAGACCACACACAAAAUUUUAUCGCAACAACAAACAACACUUCUGGGAGCUUGGACAACAAUUUAAAAUUCCAAAGUACAAUUGCCUCCUAGUCUUGUAAAACACUGUGGUUGUUUUUACAUUCCACUUGAUUUGUUGUAAAGAGUAGAUAAUAUCACACUAAUCUUUAUCAAUGAUCACAAAGAAAAUAUUAACGGCUCAUACAAACUUGAUCAUCAUUUCCCAUUGUAAGUCUACAUGUAUAUACCCAUAUGUUCUCCCGGGUUAGGAAAGAAACAUUUCAGACAAUGAGUGAAGGGGUCCAUUUACUGGUAUUUAGCACAACUAUAUAACUGCAGUUUGUUAUUUGGAAAAAAACAUACUCGUGUUUUUCUUACGACUUUGAAUCAAAUGCAUCUACCUGUACACUACUACUGCAUGGAGUAACUUAAACCAAAGAGUGGGUACAUAUCGAAAUAUGUACAUUCCCAUGGGGAUCCGGGUUAGAAUAGGUCCUCAGUACCCCUUGCUUGUCGUAAGAGGAAACUAAAUUGGGCGGUCCUUCGGAUAAGACGGCAAAACCCGAGGCCCAGUGUCACAGCAGGUGUGGCACGAUAAAAGAUCCCUCCCUGCUCAAAGGCCGUAAGCGCUGAGCAUAGGCUUAAAUUUUGCAGCCCUUCAUCAGCAAUAGUGACGUCAAUGUCUCCAUAUGAAAGAUUCUAGAGAGGGGCAUUAAACAAUACACAACCAACUACAACCCUGAACGGACAUACAGGCAGACAUACAGACAUCAAAUAUGUCCCAUCUAAAGACGAAAGUACAAAAGCACUGGGCACACAAAUACAUGUAUAUCAUGAUCAAUAUGUUGUCAUUAUUUUCUUUCACAUGAAAAGCGAUUCUUGUGUUACUUACAUACUAUGAAAUUAGCAUUCUUAGUUAACCAAUACAUGUUUUAGUUCAAGAUCAAUAUUUCUGCCAAAUAUUUCUUUAGAAGUUAAACUGUAUGCUGUUGAACUUAAAUUUGAACACUAUAAAAUUCUGAAUUCAAUAGAGAUAUUUCAAAUAUUGGUAUUACGAUAAAAAUCAGCCUUUAAAAACAAGCCUUUGAUACAAAGGGAGAGAUAACACAAACAUUGUGGAAUAUCUUUUGAAGAUUUGUGGGUAUACUAAGUUAUCAAGUGCAGUCCGAUGGUAAGGGAGCAUAUGUAGGGAGUUAAAUGAUCCUAGACUUAUAAGUUCUGUUUUUAUCUUGUCAAAAGAUAAGACAGACAAGAGGAUCCAGACAGACAAGAAGAGCCGGACAGACAAGAGGAUCUGGACAGACAAGAGGAUCCGGAUGGACAAAAAGAUCCGGACAGACAAGAAGAUCUGGACAGACAAGAAGAUCUGGACAGACAAGAGGAUCCGGAUGGACAAAAAGAUCUGGACAGGCAAGAAGAUCUGGACAGACAAGAAGAUCUGGACAAAAUAAAAUCAAGCCUAUCAUGCAGGCUUAAAUAUAGAUCAUGAUGGAUCAUAACUAACCAAUGUUUUAAUCUCGGUGAAAAUCAUUAAGAAAAUGAAACCCAUACAUAUAUUUUCUUAUAUAAAAAUUAUAAUGUUUUUAAUCUAACCUAAAUUUUUCAUGGAUUUGACAAUGUUGUAUUCUUUAAAUUGAGCUUAGAUUUUAAGUACAAGAGCAAUUAUAAAACACUGCAUUAUGAUGACAAGUUGUGAUUCAAAAAUAAAGACCCCCCUGUUGAUUUACUAGAAGACAUGCUGAUUGUAACCAGGGGCUAAACAG
This is a long non-coding RNA of Ostrea edulis (European flat oyster), 2413 nucleotides long. RefSeq lists it as uncharacterized. NCBI's taxonomy places the organism in Eukaryota, Metazoa, Mollusca, Bivalvia, Ostreida, Ostreidae. The record is from RefSeq and is a predicted model, not a curated record. The transcript is spliced from 2 exons.